Molecule: ribosomal RNA, 409 nt
Filed under: uncultured bacterium
Lineage: Bacteria
Description: bacterial SSU rRNA
Rfam family: Bacterial small subunit ribosomal RNA
Source: RNAcentral
AACGAACGCUGGCGGCGCGCCUAACACAUGCAAGUCGAACGAGAAGGCGUAGCAAUACGCUUGUAAAGUGGCGAACGGGUGAGGAAUACGUGGGUAACCUACCCUCGAGUGGGGAAUAACCAACCGAAAGGUUGGCUAAUGCCGCGUACGCUUCCAUCUCUUCGGAGGUGGAAGGAAAGCUGUACCGUGGGUACAGCGCUCAAGGAUGGGCUCACGUCCUAUCAGCUUGUUGGUAGGGUAACGGCCACCAAGGCAACGACGGGUAGCUGGUCUGAGAGGACGAUCAGCCACACUGGCACUGCGACACGGGCCAGACUCCUACGGGAGGCAGCAGUGAGGAAUAUUGCGCAAUGGGCGAAAGCCUGACGCAGCGACGCCGCGUGGGGGAUGAAGGUCUUCGGAUUGUAAA